UACGGAGGGUGCAAGCGUUAUCCGGAUUCACUGGGUUUAAAGGGUGCGUAGGUGGGCAGUUAAGUCAGUGGUGAAAUCUUCGGGCUUAACCCGGAAACUGCCAUUGAUACUAUUUAUCUUGAAUACUUUGGAGGUAAGCGGAAUAUGUCAUGUAGCGGUGAAAUGCUUAGAUAUGACAUAGAACACCAAUUGCGAAGGCAGCUUACUACACAGUUAUUGACACUGAGGCACGAAAGCGUGGGGAUCAAACAGG
RNAcentral lists this ribosomal RNA (253 nucleotides) under uncultured bacterium. Its description in RNAcentral is "partial 16S ribosomal RNA". It matches the Rfam family "Bacterial small subunit ribosomal RNA", at positions 524 to 776 of the family's 1533-position model. The record is from RNAcentral.